This 264-nucleotide ribosomal RNA is filed under the name uncultured archaeon. RNAcentral describes it as "partial 16S ribosomal RNA". It matches the Rfam family "Archaeal small subunit ribosomal RNA", at positions 717 to 982 of the family's 1478-position model. The record is from RNAcentral.
ACACGACUACAUUAGAUACCCGGGUAGUCCUGGCCGUAAACGAUGUAGACUUGGUGUUGGAAUGGCUCCGAGCUGCUCCAGUGCCGAAGGGAAGCUGUUAAGUCCACCGCCUGGGAAGUACGGUCGCAAGACUGAAACUUAAAGGAAUUGGCGGGGAGCACAACAACGGGUGGAGCUUGCGGUUUAAUUGGAUUCAACGCCGGAAAUCUUACCGGGACCGACAGCAACAUGAAGGCCAAGCUGAAGACUUUGCCGGAUUAGCUG